GACCAAGGAGUCUAACAUGUGCGCGAGUCGUAGGGUUACGCUCAAAGCCCGAAGGCGCAAUGAAAGUGAAGGUCGGCCUCGAUUGCCGUUACCUAGGCGGGAUCCGUUCGGGCUUACCGGUCGUUCGCGGCUGAGCCCGGCGGCGCACCGCCGGCCCGUCUCGACCGCAUCGCCGGUGAGGCGGAGCGAGAGCGUACACGUUGGGACCCGAAAGAUGGUGAACUAUGCCCGGGCAGGACGAAGCCAGAGGAAACUCUGGUGGAGGUCCGUAGCGAUUCUGACGUGCAAAUCGAUCGUCGGACCUGGGUAUAGGGGCGAAAUAUUAUCGAACCUUCUAGUGUUGGUUCCU
RNAcentral lists this ribosomal RNA (349 nucleotides) under Craterostigmus tasmanianus. RNAcentral describes it as "eukaryotic LSU rRNA". It matches the Rfam family "Eukaryotic large subunit ribosomal RNA", at positions 664 to 959 of the family's 3401-position model. Lineage: Eukaryota; Metazoa; Arthropoda; Chilopoda; Craterostigmomorpha; Craterostigmidae. The record is from RNAcentral.